This 65-nucleotide transfer RNA is filed under the name Aspidoscelis inornatus (Little striped whiptail). RNAcentral describes it as "tRNA-His". It matches the Rfam family "tRNA". Rfam says of the family: Transfer RNA (tRNA) molecules are approximately 80 nucleotides in length. The record is from RNAcentral. Lineage: Eukaryota; Metazoa; Chordata; Lepidosauria; Squamata; Teiidae.
GUUUGUAUAGUUUAAAAUAAAACACUAGGUUGUGACCCUAGAAAUAGAAAACCUUCUUACAGACC